RNAcentral lists this long non-coding RNA (1014 nucleotides) under Eucalyptus grandis. RNAcentral's name for it is "long non-coding RNA (EGRA_LNC004219)". The record is from RNAcentral. Lineage: Eukaryota; Viridiplantae; Streptophyta; Magnoliopsida; Myrtales; Myrtaceae.
UGGCAAAGCUUACUGUUGGGAUGAGAAGUGAUAUACCCAAAUAUGGUGUGGGUGGUGGGAAAUUGAAAAUUGAUUGUAGUUCGCAAAGAUAAGUGGGUUUCAUCUGGGCUGAUUGGUGGACCUACCAAUCGAGAAGACCCUCAAACUGUGACUGAGCUUAUUGAACCAGAGUCAAACCGAUGGAAUGAACAGAAAUUGAAUGAACUUUUUGAUGAAGAAAGAGUAAAGGAAAUACUUACUAUCCCACUCAGUUCAACCAUGAGGGAUGACAAGCUUAUUUGGAAGGGUGCUAAAUCAGGAACCUACAAUUUGAAAAAUGGCUACCACAGCAUAAAUACCAUAGAAGAACAACAUCCCACAAACCAAGCCUCAUCAUCAUUCCAGCCACCAAAAUCACUUUGGACACAAAUCUGGUCACUACAAUCUCCUCCUAAAAUACGAAACUUCAUGUGGAUUGUAUGCCCAAACGCCUACUGCGCAAGUGGACGAGCAAAAUCUGGCCUGAUCAAAGACUGAUAAUCAGCACAUGCUCGCGAAAUAUCACUCGAAUGGACAAAUAGGUGUCAGGAAAUUUUUAAGACGAGCAAGAUGAAACCGUCUCGGGAGCUCGUCACCGAUGCCCUGUGGCAGAUAUGGAAUCCAGGAACUCCUUCAUCUUCCAAGCUCGUAAGCGGGAUCCCAUCUCGAUUAUUGAUACCACACAUGCAAUCAACACGAAUGAUCAUAUGUGGAACCCUAAAAUGAGGAGGAAAAAAUAGGGAAACGAAAGCUUAUCUUCUCGGCAAGACCAAUGGGUUCCACCGGCAAGAACAUCCAUCAAGCUCAACGCCGACGGCUCUUGGGUAGAAGGAAGUGUAGAAGGAUUAGUGGCCGGAGUUUGUAGAGAUCAAAAUGGGUUUUUGCUUGUUGGUUUUGCUAAGACAGUUCAUGCCGCUUCUGCAAGUCAUGUAGAAGCUUUUGCUGUUGAAGGACUUUUGUACUUGAUGCGCAUACCUGACUUGUGGAGGCUUCAAG